RNAcentral lists this ribosomal RNA (407 nucleotides) under uncultured bacterium. RNAcentral describes it as "partial 16S ribosomal RNA". It matches the Rfam family "Bacterial small subunit ribosomal RNA", at positions 30 to 526 of the family's 1533-position model. The record is from RNAcentral.
AUUGAACGCUGGCGGCAGGCCUAACACAUGCCAGUCGAGCGGAGCGGAGGACGGGGGAGUAAUGCCUAGGAAUCUGCCAGGUAGUGGGGGAUAACGUCAGGAACCGGGAGCUAAUACCGCAUACUAUCAGAUGAGACUAGGUCGGAUUAGCUAGUUGGUGGGGUAAAGGCCGACCAAGGCGACGAUCCGUAACUGGUCUGAGAGGAUGAUCAGUCACACUGGAACUGUGACACGGUCCAGACUCCUACGGGAGGCAGCAGUGGGGAAUAUUGGACAAUGGGCGAAAGCCUGAUCCAGCCAUGCCGCGUGUGUGAAGAAGGUCUUCGGAUUGUAAAGCACUUUAAGUUGGGAGGCGUUACCAACAGAAUAAGCACCGGCUAACUUCGUGCCAGCAGCCGCGGUAAUUC